GUUUUUUUUCGUCUGUGCACUAAAAAUAGGCCUAUUUAAAAAGAAAUAAAAUUCGGGGAUGUAGUGGCCAAGUCUUUCAUCAUGGAAAGAGCAUCUUUAUUCGUCAUCUUGGCUCGCCUCCUUUCGCAACCGCCAUCUGUCAGUAUUUAUACACAUACGUAUAAUUAGCCAAAAAGGCGAGUAAGAAAAUGUGAUCAAGGGAGGUGAAAGUUGCAACCCAAGUUUCCGAACGGGGGAGAAUAACUUCAAACGGCAUUUCAAAAGGGGGCAGCGCCGAUCAAUCACCCUUUUAGAACUUUACUCAAGUCAAACUACCUAAUAUCACAUUGAAUAUUGAAAAAUUUCAAUGCUGACUAUAAUGUAUUGGGAUGCGCAGUGGUAAUAGUGCCAGGCCUCAUUAUCACGUGAUGGACGUGUUCCGCGUAUCUCCCAACGCGAAGUUUAACGGUCUGAGUGGCACUGCCAAAACAAACAAAACGCAAGACACAUGUCAAAGAUAAUAAUUUCAAACGCGAAACUAAUGUGACUCUUCUUUUUUUUUUUUUUUUUUUUUGAUGUUCGAGUUACAGUCUCUUUUCUUUCGUUUGGCCGUUGUGUGUCUUUCAAAACGAUGAGUGUCCUGCGUGAGUAUUCGCGUCGUCAAGAGGCACUCGUCCAGAGAAAGAGAGGACACACGCAUUUUAAAAAAUCCAAUUGAAUAAGAGACUCGGCAGAAAGAAAAGAAAAUAGAAAAUUCAACACAAAAACAGGGAGGAAAAAUAACAGAUGGAAAAAUCCUGGCGAUAGAACUGAAGCAAACGACACGAAAUGUGAAAAGAAAAAAGAGUAAAGAGGAAGCAUCUCCUUGUUAUCACUCAAACGCAGCAGACGGUGCAUAGAGUCGUCUGCUUCCGCUAAAUGAAACUCCAUCCUCUCGUUAUGCGGUGUAUCAUCAUGGCCGCUGAUUUGCUUCGUCACACCAAGUUUGCGUGACACUGCCAAGCCCCGCUUUUUUUUUCUUCAUUUGCAACGUCUGUUUGAUGCAGCAUCUCCGACUCAGCUUUGAUGAAUAAUUAGCGAGCAAACACAUGGCGUAGAGAUCCAGCCAAAAAGGGACGUUUUUUGCACACAAGGAUUGGAGGAAAAGUUUUGACAUCUUCAAGGCGCCACCGUUUGACUUUUAUACAAAGCCAUUAGAGUCUCCAGCACUUCGGGAUUAUAGCCCUCCAGCACGGGCUGGUUGUUAACGUAAUCGCAUUUGGCAAACAUGGGCUGAGGUCCUUCGACCCAAAACAAGUUAUGUGCCGCCUCACUACUGUCCAAAUCCAAAGAGUGGAGCUGGAAACAGCCGAAAUAAAAGUUGCGGCUGUCGGUUUGUACGCAGUUAAUAGUCACUGGUUCGGGAAGUUCCUUCACGUCUUUCUGUUACGAAAAAAAACAAAAUAAAAACAUACGUCA
Molecule: long non-coding RNA, 1437 nt
Organism: Daphnia carinata
Lineage: Eukaryota; Metazoa; Arthropoda; Branchiopoda; Diplostraca; Daphniidae
Exons: 4
Source: RefSeq, a predicted model, not a curated record